Molecule: long non-coding RNA, 170 nt
Organism: Drosophila novamexicana
Lineage: Eukaryota; Metazoa; Arthropoda; Insecta; Diptera; Drosophilidae
Exons: 2
Source: RefSeq, a predicted model, not a curated record
GAUCCAUUUCAAGUAUCUUAUUUAUCGUCGAAUAUCAUGAAACUUGUUGCACUCAUUUUCAUUUCCAUUUACUUUAUUGGCAUUGUCCAGGCUGUUGAUCGAUGUCUUCAGAAACCUGGAGUAGCAGGCGAUUGCUAUGCCUACCAUAUGAGGUAUUCCUACUAUCCAGA